Molecule: unclassified non-coding RNA, 232 nt
Filed under: Hevea brasiliensis (rubber tree)
Lineage: Eukaryota; Viridiplantae; Streptophyta; Magnoliopsida; Malpighiales; Euphorbiaceae
Source: RNAcentral
AAAAAAAAAAAAAAAAAAAAAACCCCCCCGCCAUAAAAAUAAAACAGCCUCAAAACUACAUAGGUCAUAAAUCCUUUAGAGUUCAGGAUAAAAUCCAAUAACGGAGGAUUGGCUUAUUAUACUUGGGCAAGCAUGGGCUAAUGACUGUUCCAGGCACAGAAGAACAGCUAACAACGAUGGCUGUGGCCCUCGGUCACUCUUUCUUGACAGUGGCAGACUUGAUUAUGUCAAU